RNAcentral lists this long non-coding RNA (4021 nucleotides) under Gadus morhua (Atlantic cod). RNAcentral's name for it is "lncRNA (ENSGMOG00000035863.1)". The record is from RNAcentral. Lineage: Eukaryota; Metazoa; Chordata; Actinopteri; Gadiformes; Gadidae.
AGUUGCCUAAGAUUAAAAUCAAGUAAAUGAUAAUCGAAUACCUCCAAUGUCCGAAUGUCGGUUUCCAAAUAGUUUUGCUUGCUGUGAACUUUGAUGAAGGUUAAAAUGUUGAACUUUCAUCUAACUCCCCAUUUUCCACACCUCCCUGUCCUAAAAUAUAAGGCAAUUGUGUUGUAUUCAUCAAGAUGCAAGAGUUAUUCAAAGCAAUUUGGCAGCAGCUCUUGAUAAGCUCUCAAUUCUGCCUUUUUCGUCUAGCUGCCCCUCACACACAGUCCUGGCAAACGGUGAAUGAAAAGACUCACCAAAAACUGUCCAGUAAACAGGCCAGGCAGCAACCGAUUCAGCAUGAAGGGAUCCAGUCAGGGGAGGAGAGGGAAGUAAAGAUGGUUGAGCAGGUGACAGAAGAGGUUAAAGACGAUGAACGUCCUCUGAUCUCCGUUCUCCAUCCUGUCCUCUCGGUCAACGGCGCACUACCUUUGGAUGAGUGGUGCGUGUAUCCCAGUGCCCCUCUUACACUCAGCGAGGGCUCCAUGCGCUCAGACAGUGUGGAGGACUGUCUGGAGCCAGCCAAGAACACAGACCUCCUGACGGGUGACCUAAGGUUGUCAGAAGUAAGACAGGAGCAGAUCGGUUCCAUUGUGCUGAAUCUCAAAGUAUCCCAGGUACUGCUGCAGCAGGGCGACGCCAGCCUAGAUGUUGUGGAGAGCUGCCUCCGGACCAGGGGAGGGAACGACGAGGUGGACUGUAGAGAAGCUUCCCCCACAAACCCAUCCAAGUAUAGGAGUGCUGUCGGCCCGCCUUCACCUCGCUACCGUCGGCCACCUCGUCCUCUAGCCAAGACACUGGAAAGACAAGGACAUUAUGGAGAGCGACCGCAGAGUCAGGAGCGAGAGAGAGAAGAGCUGACCUUUGGGAUGGCUCCUUCUCCCUUUUUGAACAAUGAUUGUCAGGAAUAUAGAAAGAAAUCUUAUGAGCAGACUAAUCGAAGUAGCUUGAUUAACAAGGGAUCACUUGAUAUUCAUCCAAGACCAAAGCAUGAGGAAGUUGGAGGCAUAAAUUCCAGGGCUUGGUCCCACCUUCAGGAUCUCCCUGGAACACGGAAAAUAAAUGAGCUCAUAGAGAGGUCAUGCGCCUCACCAGACUUUCUGGAAGGGAUCCAGUCGUCUCUACAGCAGAUGGGCGUCCAGGCCCAAGCCACAAAGACCGGUAAUACCAUAAACCUGAUGCAUAUUUACUGCUUCAGUUUUUUGGUUGUUUUGUGGUUCCACAGAGCCUGUUCUCUGGUCUCUAUAGGAGAGUUGCAUAAUGGACCUUUAAAAAAAAUGAAUGCCCCAAUGCCAUUUCAUUAGUUUGAGUACUGAGUAUUCACUGUAUUCAUAUAUGUUGGUUGCCAUUGUCUAGUGUGGCUAACAUUAGCAAACAUUUUGACGAAAAUGAACGGUAUCAAGGUCGCCCGUCUCCGGGCUCACAACGAUGAACAAAGCCCUCCGCCGUGCUCUUACCUCUGCUCCCUGCUCAGGGAAUCCGCUGGCUUUGGAUUUGUCAGGGUGGAGGCAAAGAUAAUGAUGCACUUCCUUUGGGCUGUGAUUGACCCUCUUGGUCUAGCUGUCGGUCGGUUGACCUGGUACGCAGGACAAGGACCGAUGACACGGACCCUGGGGGGAAAGGCAGGACCUUCAUCCCCUCAGGCGUCAUUAAGGAUCCCCCCCCCCCCCACACACACACACACACACAAACACACUCGGGAAUCUCUAGUCCUGACUGUCUUUUGAUGGAAGGGUUUUCUACAAAGGACAAUACAAAAGAGUCAGCUAAACAUGAGAAUAAGUAGCAGCUAGAAGGUGUGUUCAUUUUGCCCCUGUUUACUGAUACUGAGGUCCAUUGCAGAUAGCAGCAGUGAGAGUGAGUCUGACAGAGAUUUCCACACAGUCAAUCAGACCUUCGCGUUGACUUCUAAAGGCUGUGACGACCAAGAGCCUUCACAGGUAAAAAAAGAGAGUCAAACCCAGAGUGUGGACAACUUGAAACAACAACACGCUCGCCCUGACCCGUUUGAUUGCGUUUCCAGGAGGAAUCCAACUCUGAUACAGACGAUCGCCACACUACCCUGAGAUCAUGUCCUACUGUGCACAACCCCGACCCAAAAGCUACCCAGAGUCAAGUAAGGGAAUCUUUCAUCCCUAAACAAAUAGUCAUUGACUGUGUUGCAGCCACACAGGAUAUUCCUGAUGCCACAGAAUGGUGUAUUCUGUGGACGAGUGUAUUGAGUGUGUUACCCUUUUGAAUCCGAUCCAGGAUCCUGGCUCAGAAGAGGGUGGAGAUGUAAUCCCAGUGGUGUUCGGACCAGAGGGUUGCAGACCAGAAGGACAUUUAGCCAACAUCACACACUGCGGUCAGAAAUUAGUAUCAAAGCCUGUUAACUAUUAUUUAUAUAACCCAUGCACAAAGAAAAUAAGCUAUACGUGCAUGGAUUUAAAUUCAGAUAUCAGAAACUAUGGGUGAAACGGUCCUCAUUACUCUUUAAUAUUUAAUAUUAUCGUUUUAUUAAACAGACUCCCUGUUUUGUGGGAAAAGACGUUUAAAGUUAUGAACCAGUUCAUAAUAUUUAAAUAUUAAUACAAAGCAGUAAUGGCCAAUAAUGCUCCUCUCUAAUCACUUCAUCCAGAGGAUGAAUGUGUUCUGAGUGAAAAGGAAAUGCCCUUCGAUGGGGACUCUGCUAGACCAGCGCUGUCGAGACUCAAGAACACCACAUCAGACCCAUCAUGCCUGGCUCAAGUCGACUCAGACAUGUAAGUGUCCACAUAUAUUGAUGUAUCUUUAUAUACCUUUUCCUGUACGAUUGUAUAGGCAAAAACUCUUGAGAUACCUAAGAGGCAGAGAUACAUAAGAGGCCUACAGCCUAUGUAAAGGUCUUCCUUCUGUGACGCAAUAAUUAUAAGAAGUAUUUUAAAGCCAUCCUUUUUGGUCAAAUAAUGAGGGGAAUUCUGAUGAUCCAUGAACAGGCUGCAACACUUUACAGAGCUGGCUGAACUCUCCAGCAUCACAGGCUCUCCUGGCCAGCACCAAGACGGGCUCUUUCGGACCUCCCUCAACAGGCCUCCUCCACCGUGCAACAGCACACCACGGAGCCUGGGUAAACACACUGCCCCUCCUCCUUUACCUUGAGCCCUGUGCUCCUUAGAGGAGCAGAAUGUCCAAACCUUUUUUUAGGGCUGAAUAGUUUCCAUGUUUUUUAAAAUAGUUGUAUAUCUUUUGUUCUGUUGAUGUUUGUGUUGUAUAAUUCUAUUCAACAGCGCAUUUGAAAUCCAACCCUACGGGCACUGAGGUGACCAACAGCCCCAUCCUGGAGGCUCCAGCAGUCCAGUGGACUUCUAUGUCUUUGAACUCUGAGAGCUUUACCACAGCAGCUGCAGAUGUUUCAGGGGACGGCCUCGUAAGUGGCCAAUGCUGUCAACAGUCCGAAACCAUUUGGCUACUUCUCUGGUUGAAUAUCAUUGUCUGGGAUUGCACUGGUUAAUUAUCAACUAUCUUUCUUUUGCCAUUACCAGCAGGACAACCUGGUGGCCACAAACACUAUUCAGUCUCCAUUCUUGAAAGUCGACCCUGGCCCCCAGCCUCCUAGUCACCUCCUGCAGAGCCCUGACUUGAACCUUGCUGGCUCCACGGACCGGGCACAGUGUCCUGGGCCUGGGAAGGAGCAGAGAGGAGCCGGGAGGGAGGCAGUGGAGGGAAGGCAAGAGGAGCAACAUGCCGAGGGAGCAGGACCGUGUGCAGGGUUGGAUGAGGGGGAUAGAAGUGGACAGCAGGGGGAUGGGAAGGGCCACUGUGUGGAGGCAGCGGAGCAUGCAGGACCGGACCACCGAGGCGCCACUGAGCAGCCUCUGCCUGGAGGCUGUGGCGCUGCUAGUGUUAUGAACAGAGGUUGGCAAAACACACAACCCGUCACUUGAAUCCAAGUGAUGCACACAUUCAUCACGUGACGAUCCCAUCUGAAUGUAUGUAGUUAUAUUUACUGUCCUUG